AACCCUCGCCUCUAGUUGCCAGCAUUCGGUUGGGCACUCUAGAGGGACUGCCGGCGACAAGUCGGAGGAAGUGGGAUGACGUCAAAUCAUCAUGCCCCUUAUGACCUGGGCUACACACGUGCUACAAUGGGCGGUACAAAGGGCUGCGAACCCGCGAGGGGGAGCGGAAUCCCAAAAAAGCCGACUCUCAGUUCGGAUUGCAGGCUGCAACUCGCCUGCAUGAAGUCGGAAUCGCUAGUAAUCGCGGAUCAGCUACGCCGCGGUGAAUACGUUCUCGGGCCCUU
RNAcentral lists this ribosomal RNA (284 nucleotides) under uncultured Geobacillus sp. RNAcentral's name for it is "partial 16S ribosomal RNA". It matches the Rfam family "Bacterial small subunit ribosomal RNA", at positions 1100 to 1382 of the family's 1533-position model. The record is from RNAcentral. Lineage: Bacteria; Bacillati; Bacillota; Bacilli; Caryophanales; Anoxybacillaceae.